UCUUCCACUCAGUUUGGGGAUUUCAAGGGCGAGGACAUCGCCCACAGCGCUGUGGACCGAUGGAGGUUGGCCCUCUGCUCACAAGGAGGCACAGGAAGGCAGAAUAUCACAGUCUCAGGACUGCGGGCUCCUGUGGGAGGCAGAGUCCUUAGGUUGGUUGGAUUCUGCUGGUCUGAAGGCAUGGAGAUCGCCUGGGAAGAGAAAACCUGGGGCAGCCCGCGUCUACAUGGCAGCUGGUCAGGGCAGGACAGUGCACAGACCCUCAACAAGUGAAGCCAGUCAAAACACUUCCCCUGACAAAACCAGUGGAAUAGUGUGUUUGUAAAACCGAUGGCGUUUUUGUUGACAGGCAAAUGUCUACAUCGCAUGGCAACAAACGGCUGGAAGAUGCAAAAAUGCAGUCAAUCAUCAGGGAUUUCUUUUCCCGCCUCUCUUUAAAAAAGAAAAGCUCUCCCACCACCAUACAGGAUGAGUGAUGUCUGCAUGGUGUUUGAAGAUCUUCCUCCCUGAUCAAGCAAGUUCCUGAGGCUCAGUCUGGAGACCCAGGGGCAGCCCAAGUCUGACUGAACCAAACAGGGCAGGGUUGUCAGGAUCUUCUCAGGAAGUGGGGAUUGGCUCUGAAUUUCCCACUGACUUUGAGAAAUGCAGCAUUCUUCAAACUCUGAUGUGCUUAGAACCUCCUGUAUUAGCUGGUGAGAAUGCAGAUAGCCAGGCCUCAGCUCCAAGAUUCUGAUUCGGCAGUUUGGGGAGAAUGGCCCCAGGGCACCAGUAUUUUUAAUACCCGUUUACCACUUCCCAGAGAUGCUGAUCUGGGUGUUUCUGGGGCCACUCUGAAAAACACACAGUAUUGAGCAAAGACUCUAUGUCUGCCAUUCCCUUGACCCAGCAUCCUCCUGGUCAUGCAUCUGGGCUCCGCUGGGCUAGGUCUCCAAGAAGCCAUCUCUGGCUCUCUCUCCUGGGAUAAAUCAUCCUUGUAACGAUCCUAUUUCUACCCUCCCACCCCACCCUCCCAUUUUUUCCCGGCUCUGUCUUUUAGAGCCACACAAGGGAUGUCUGAUGUUUGAUUCCUCUACCUGAUAGCAGUCUUUUCAAUUCGUAAGCCUUUGGUUCAUUUGUUCAUUCAUUCAUUUAUCGAGUCUUAUGGAACACCUACUGCAUGACAGUGGCUGGGGAGAAUAGCAUGUACAAAGGUCCUGGAGCAGGUAAGGCCAGGGAGUGUUCAAGGCAUGGGCAGAAGGCCUAUGUGGCUAGAGUAGAGUGAGUGAAGGCAGAGACCAUGGGAUAGCCGGAGGCUAUGACAGAGUUUGGUCUGUAUUCUGAAUCUGAUGGGAAGAUUUUGGAGGGUGUUAUGGUUAGAGUUUAAAGAGUUCAAAGGAGAGCAUUCUUUGGCUCAAAUAUCUUUUGGCAGGCAAAGCAAUAUAAUUUUACCCAUUUCCUGGGAAACUUCCAGUAAAUGUGGCCAUUGCUAUUGAAUAUGACUUAGACCUUAGAUGCUACCUCCUCUAGGAAGCCUUCUUUGCUUUUGAUCUGGUAGCUUUAGAUGCACCUCCACCAAAGUAUUGGUGAUGGUAAUACCAUAAUAUACUAAUAUUUGUGGAAUUGUCACACCCCAGCCCAUUUUUCAGGAUGGCAGACCCCAUGCAGGUUCAAACUUGUCUUCCAUCUGUGUCUCCUCAGAAGCUUCCUUAACCUUCCCCUGCCUCAGUUUCUCCUAAUGGGUUACUGUGAUGCCUGGCAAGAGGAUGUCCAUGAUGGAGUUCCCUUCGUGGCUCAGCGGUUAACUACGAUCCAGAAGGAUGCGGGUUCGAUCCCUGGCCUUGCUUAGUGGGUUGAGGAUCUGGCAUUGCCAUGAGCUGUGGUGUAGGUCACAGACAUAACUUGGAACCCACAUUGCUGUGGCUCUGGUGUAGGCUGGCAGCUGCAGAUCCUAUUUGACCCCUAGCCUGGGAACUUCCUUAUGCCCCAGGUACAACCCUAAAAAGAGAAAAAAAAGGGGGUGCCCACAAACUGCUCAGCAAGGGCAUGGUACACAGUGAUGCUGCUAGGUUGGCUGGACUUUUAUAUUAGAGGAUAUCUGUUGGAUGAUGGGUUGGGGGGAAACCCCCACUCUACCCACUGCCCAAUGUCUAACAGGAGUUUGGCUCAUCUAACUCUCCAGCAUUGGCUAGGGAUGUGUUUAGAUUUGCCCUUUGGCUGUUUUUUCAAUUUCUCAGAUUUAAUGUUGGCAGGAUACACUCAUACACUUUGGGGGUCCAUGUAGGAAGUUAUGGCCCCCUGGCCCCCUUAUGGUGAGACAACUGAAAGGAGCUGGGAGGGGGUCUAGGGCUGGGGAGUAAAUGACUUCUGGGGCUUGAUUCCCUGGUUGAAAGUGUAGGAUGACAUGUCCCCUGGGAGCGGACAGAGUGCAGAACAUUUAGUCUCCAACGUGAUGUCCAGAGCUUGGUUUGCUCUAUAUCCAUCUGUCCAUCCAUUGGAAAAAUAUUCACCAAGCCCUGACUGUGUUUGGCACUGAGGACCCAGUAGUGAACCAUGCAGACACCAUCCUGCUCUCUCCUUCCUCUCUCUUGCACCAAAUUUCCAGACCCCUUGUAGCAUCAUCUGUAUCACCAUCCUUCUCCUCCUUUCCUUUCUCUAACUGGCAACUACGAAUUAUGCAACUACUAAGAUAAAAUGUAUAGUGAUUAAGGGUAUAAUCUCUGGAUUAGGAGGGCCAGGCCUUGAAUCCCACCUCUGCCACUAGAUAUGUGGCCUCGGACAAGUCCCUUUCCUGCCCUGAGCUUUGCUUUCUCUAUCUCUAAUGUCAGAGGGUUAUUCUGAGGUUCAGUAAGAUAGACUUUGGCAAUGUCAUCUAUUUCAAUACUAAUGGGGUGAAUCUGGGACACUUUAGAAGCCAGGAAGAAACUUGCUCUUCCUAGUAGUAGAGCUCCUGAUGACUUGCUAAGAGCAGGUGAAGAGCUGUGAACAGUGGCUUUCAUUUUAUUUAGUCAUCAGAGGAACUUUGCAAGAAUGCGUCUCACGUAUGUAUUGCUGAGGAGGAAUCAAGGCACAGGAACAAGUAAUUUCAUGAAGUGUGCAUCUGAGCCUUCUCUCCUGAGACCAAGCUGCACUCCCAUUGGAGUCUACAACAUUCUUGGGACCACAAACUUCUGGUUCCUAAGAACUUUUGCUGGAUGGAUCUUGUUAACUGCCCUCUCUGCUCCUUAGUAUUCCUGCCAGGCCUAUCUGGCUGAGAAGCCCCAUUCAUUAGACAGUUGUAUUCAUAAUCCAGAUACUUCUUCCAGGUAGUUUUUUUGAGGGGGUUUUAAUGGAUGUUGAGAAUUUGUUCUCAUUAAAGCCCUGGGAAACAUGAGCUUUGGUCCUAGAGCAUUUGGCUUAUGCUUAACACCAUAGACGCUAAAAUUUGCUUCUUUUUGAUUUAGUCUCUUGCUAGCUUGAAGGACUGGAUUUUAUAACAGGUCAAUUUCAGACCAUUUGAUAUUGAUAUAUGAAGAUCCUUAGGGAUUAUUGAAUGCAUUUUUCAUCCAGCUGCGAUAGUAUCAUAUAAGGAAAAUGGGAUUGACUGUUAAGUACAAAUUGAAAAAGACAUGGUCAUUUAAGAUAACUCCUUAUCUGUAUACAAGGAAAUAGUAUCAGGGAAAUAGACCACCAGUUGACAGAAAUAAAUUUCACCUUGGGUUCCUCC
Long non-coding RNA from Sus scrofa (pig), 3682 nucleotides. RefSeq lists it as uncharacterized. NCBI's taxonomy places the organism in Eukaryota, Metazoa, Chordata, Mammalia, Artiodactyla, Suidae. The record is from RefSeq and is a predicted model, not a curated record.